Molecule: unclassified non-coding RNA, 377 nt
Filed under: uncultured Demequinaceae bacterium
Lineage: Bacteria; Bacillati; Actinomycetota; Actinomycetes; Micrococcales; Demequinaceae
Description: contains 16S-23S intergenic spacer region
Source: RNAcentral
UCCGAGUUGACCCCGGCAGUCUCCUAUGAGUCCCCGCCAUUACGCGCUGGCAACAUAGAACGAGGGUUGCGCUCGUUGCGGGACUUAACCCAACAUCUCACGACACGAGCUGACGACAACCAUGCACCACCUGUAUACAGCCCCGAAGGACUCCAUAUCUCUAUGGAUAAACCGUAUAUGUCAAGCCUUGGUAAGGUUCUUCGCGUUGCAUCGAAUUAAUCCGCAUGCUCCGCCGCUUGUGCGGGCCCCCGUCAAUUCCUUUGAGUUUUAGCCUUGCGGCCGUACUCCCCAGGCGGGGCACUUAAUGCGUUAGCUGCGACGCGGAACUCAUGGAAAGAGCCCCACAUCUAGUGCCCACCGUUUACGGCAUGGACUAC